Molecule: long non-coding RNA, 2618 nt
Organism: Haliotis rubra (blacklip abalone)
Lineage: Eukaryota; Metazoa; Mollusca; Gastropoda; Lepetellida; Haliotidae
Exons: 2
Source: RefSeq, a predicted model, not a curated record
UGAAUGUUGUACUCCUGAAUGUUGUGGAAACCACGUUAAUUUCAACCUAAACGGUGCGUACGUCAUGCCACGGCUUACAGAAAAUCAGCGUCUGGGCUAGGUAUGCUGGAGACUGGAAUGGUCUAAAAUAAAGUGGCCAGACAUUUUGGGGUCCAUCGAUGUCUUCUCUAUGCGGACAUAAUGGGAACACAAGAUAUUUGUCUCGGACUGGUCGUCCACGAGACGGUCAUCUGAGGAAUCGAUUCCAGACUGCCAGUUUGACUGCUCGGACCAUUCCUGGACUUACGUCCAAACAGUUGUUUUGUUCACUGACGAGUCGAGAUUUCAUCUGGCCAGUUCAGAUAGUAGUGCAAGGGUGUACCGACGUCGAGGUGAACGGUAUGCUGACCCGUGAGAGUUUCAAAGCCGACAGUUUCGUGGCGAUAGCGGUAUGGUAAGGCGGAGCAUCACAUCUCAUGGUCGGACGCAACUCUGACAGGUCAGCGAUCCAUGGAUGAGAUCAUUGGGCCUCAUGUGCAGCCGUUCAUUCAAGGAUAGAGACCCAACUUCACGCUACAGUAGGAUAAUGCUCGUCCACAUGUCGUUCGUGUUGUGACAGAUUUCUUGAGACAGGUAGGUGACGACAUGUAUCGAAAUGGCUCUCUCGUUUUAUUUAGUUUUGCUAGUUUUAUGUGUUUUCUUCUGUCGUCAAAGUUGUUCAGCUUUUCAUCAAAGGUGAUUUCUUCAAUAUGUGAAGAGCGUGGUGAACCGAUUGCGGUGUUUUCAGUGUUUCUAUGGCUUGAUAGUCCUACUCAUCAUAGCCGGACAGUUUGGCUUUGUUGACCGCCUUCAACUUUUGGAGUUCUGUGACUCUUCUUUGACGGGACAAUCUCUAAUAUAUGUUUCUGGGGGAUGUUUGAAAGACGAUGUUGCUGUCAAGAAUCACACGAGAGGCAAAAGAGGAGGUUUUGGCAAGGACAAUUCGUGCAAGGAAGAACAAACGGCCUUGAUGCUCUCAAAUGUGCAGUCGUUACGAAAACAACUAAACUGUUUCUCUGGACCUGUCCCCUAUCGAGUACGCUUGGGAGGAAAUGGAGAGGCGUUUACGUCAAGCCCAGAAUCAACCAUUGACGUUAGCUGAAUUGGGGCAAGCGUUGGUUCACACAUGGAACAACAUUUCCCAAGCUUUCUUCAAUCGAUUAGGAUCGUCUGUGCGUCGUCGUUGUCAAGCCUGCAUCAACUCCAAUGGUGGACACACAGGAUACUGAAUUUGUGAAUUUGUGACCUCUGACACCUUCUCUACGAGGGCGUCACGAUGCCUUGUGUCGAAUCAUAUGAUUUCGACAUUAUCCUGUCAGCAGUUAAACAGUGAUAAAGGAAAACACCACAAAUCAUGUUAUUAUCUGUUUGCAUUAGAAAUGGUACAACAUCAAAUAAUGCACAGUUACUUAAUUCCAGUAGUAUAUCUGUGAAUAAAAAUGCAGGCGUUUUGUUGGAAAUUGUUGUCGAUAUGUUACCCUCCUGAUAUCGUUUUAUCCAUUAGAAAUGUCCAUCAUUGCAGUAGAGGAUUCAUCAGAAACGGAUCUAAAGAUGAAUUACGGUAUCUUACAAAUCAAAAUAGAUUUUAAUAAACCGACAAACCCUUUUCAUAGCCAUACGACAUGCAUGAUGAAAUUAGAAUCCAUAGAACAAAUAUACCAUAAAGAAUUAAAAAGGUUGUCAAAUUUUGAUCAUUCAAAUACCUUUUCCCCUAAAAUGAGUUUCAGUGAAUUUCUUGUUCUAUCAUUUUGAAAUGUUCUACUCUUUGAAAUGUCAACAUGCGAAAAAUGGCCUACCCGACGAUUUGGUUAAAAAACCCAAAUAAUCAGUGUUUGUGUCCUGGGUCAUAACGGACGUAAUAACUGAACAUUGUUGAUUAUCAGUGAUUGUGAUCCGUCAAUGUUACAGGCAGUGUUACGAGAGGAUAUAUGACAUAUGGUGGAUGCAACGCAUGCACUAGUUGACAAUAUUUGAUCCAAUCUCUUGUGGUUCCGACAUAGGCGCAAGGUGUAAAACCCAUUAGCUGGCAACACUUCACUCUAGUGAUAGAAUACAUCUGUUUCAUAAUCAUCAGAGGCGUGAAAUAUUACGCUUAAGAACAUCCGUUCUUUUUCUCGAUUAUUGCACAAACAAUUUGUCAUUUGCUUAUUGAAAACAACUUCAUGUUAAACAGUAGCCAUCAUCAGAGUAUUUAAAAUGUUUGCGUCACGCCUCGUUUUAGCGAUAGUAAACGUGUGACGUCCGAAAACAUAAAUCCGACGAUAUAAAGAUGUAAUAGUCACUGGGCCGCCGUGAUGUUGCUGGAAUAUUGCUAAAAGCGGCGUAAAAAUAAACUCACACACUUUAAGUCACUGUCCAACUGAUCAUAAUGAUAAGAACACUAAGUCUGUUCUUUGUUGAAGUGUCCAGUUGAGUUGUUUCAAAAGUUUCAGAUGAAAGAAUCAGAGUUAGUGUUAUCUGUACGAAGACUACUGUCCAGUCAGUGUUCAGUUCAUUUGGUAAUGAACACGGAGAUUGGGUGUUAUUUAUAGUAUUAUUCUUUCAUUUUGUCAAAUUUAUUUUAAAUUGAUAUUUACUGUUAAAUAAAAGUUUUGAACAGA